AACGUAGGACGCAAGCGUUAUCCGGAGUUACUGGGCGUAAAGCGCGGGCAGGCGGCUCGAUGCGUCUGAUGUGAAAGUCAAAGGCUCAACCUUUGAAAGCCGAUGGAUACUGUCGAGCUAGAGUCCGGAAGAGGCGGGUGGAAUUCCUGGUGUAGCGGUGGAAUGCGCAGAUAUCAGGAAGAACACCCGUGGCGAAGGCGGUUCUCUGGGACGGUACUGACGCUGAGACGCGAAAGCGUGGGGAGCGAACAGG
RNAcentral lists this ribosomal RNA (253 nucleotides) under uncultured bacterium. RNAcentral describes it as "partial 16S ribosomal RNA". It matches the Rfam family "Bacterial small subunit ribosomal RNA", at positions 524 to 776 of the family's 1533-position model. The record is from RNAcentral.